GCUGUGUGAUGAUAAGCAAAUACUGAGUAAACACAAAGGUCUUAACUAGCUCCAUCUGAUC
Vicugna pacos (alpaca) is the source of this 61-nucleotide small nucleolar RNA. The record is from Ensembl. NCBI's taxonomy places the organism in Eukaryota, Metazoa, Chordata, Mammalia, Artiodactyla, Camelidae.